AACGCACAUUGCGCCCCUUGGUAUUCCGGGGGGCAUGCCUGUUCGAGCGUCAUUUAUACCAAUCUAGCCUGGCUAGGUGUUGGGCUUCGCCGUCUCGGCGGGCCUUAAAACCAGUGGCGGUGCUCUCAGGCUCUACGCGUAGUAAUCUUCUCGCUAUAGGGUCCUGGGAGGCGCUGGCCAGCAACCCCCCAUUUUUCUAGGUUGACCUCGGAUCAGGUAGGGAUACCCGCUGAACUUAA
This 239-nucleotide unclassified non-coding RNA is filed under the name uncultured fungus. RNAcentral's name for it is "partial contains 5.8S ribosomal RNA, internal transcribed spacer 2, and large subunit ribosomal RNA". Lineage: Eukaryota; Fungi. The record is from RNAcentral.